Molecule: non-coding RNA, 28 nt
Filed under: Bombyx mori (domestic silkworm)
Lineage: Eukaryota; Metazoa; Arthropoda; Insecta; Lepidoptera; Bombycidae
Source: RNAcentral
UGAAAUCCUCACCCCAAUAGAUACGUGA